UCUGGUUGAUCCUGCCAGAGGUCACUGCUAUCAGUAUUCGACUAAGCCAUGCGAGUCAAAUGUUCUUUGUGAACAUGGCGUACUGCUCAGUAACACGUGGAUAAUCUGCCCUAAGGUCAGGCAUAACUCCGGGAAACUGGUGAUAAUACCUGAUAUAUCAUAGACACUGGAAUGUUCUGUGAUCAAAAGCUCCGGUGCCUUAGGAUGAAUCUGCGGCCUAUCAGGUUGUAGUGGGUGUAAUGUACCUACUAGCCGACGACGGGUACGGGUUGUGAGAGCAAGAGCCCGGAGAUGGAUUCUGAGACAUGAAUCCAGGCCCUACGGGGCGCAGCAGGCGCGAAAUCUUUACAAUGCGGGGAACCGCGAUAAGGGGAUACUGAGUGCCAGCAUAUUAUGUUGGCUGUCCACCUGUAUAAAUAGCAGGUGUUAGCAAGGGCCGGGCAAGACCGGUGCCAGCCGCCGCGGUAACACCGGCGGCCCGAGUGGUGGCCACUAUUAUUGGGUCUAAAGGGUCCGUAGCCGGUUCGAUCAGUCUUCCGGGAAAUCUGACAGCUCAACUGUUAGGCUUCCGGGGGAUACUGUCGGACUUGGGACCGGGAGAGGUAAGAGGUACUACAGGGGUAGGAGUGAAAUCUUGUAAUCCUUGUGGGACCACCAGUGGCGAAGGCGUCUUACCAGAACGGGUCCGACGGUGAGGGACGAAAGCUGGGGGCACGAACCGGAUUAGAUACCCGGGUAGUCCAGCUGUAAACGAUGCUCGCUAGGUGUCUGGGACGGUGCGACCGUUUCAGUGCCGCAGGGAAGCCGUGAAGCGAGUCACCUGGGAAGUACGGCCGCAGGCUGAAACUUAAAGGAAUUGGCGGGGGAGCAC
This 871-nucleotide ribosomal RNA is filed under the name uncultured Methanolobus sp. RNAcentral's name for it is "bacterial SSU rRNA". It matches the Rfam family "Archaeal small subunit ribosomal RNA", at positions 1 to 879 of the family's 1478-position model. Lineage: Archaea; Methanobacteriati; Methanobacteriota; Methanomicrobia; Methanosarcinales; Methanosarcinaceae. The record is from RNAcentral.